This 350-nucleotide ribosomal RNA is filed under the name Salarias fasciatus (jewelled blenny). RNAcentral's name for it is "partial 12S ribosomal RNA". It matches the Rfam family "Bacterial small subunit ribosomal RNA", at positions 1029 to 1525 of the family's 1533-position model. Lineage: Eukaryota; Metazoa; Chordata; Actinopteri; Blenniiformes; Blenniidae. The record is from RNAcentral.
CCGCCACCGCCUAUAUACCGCCGUCGUCAGCUUACCCUAUGAAGGACAAACAGUAAGCAGAAUCAGUAAUACUCAAAACGUCAGGUCGAGGUGUAGCAAAUGAAAGAGGAAGAAAUGGGCUACAUUUCCUACGCCGCAGGAAAUACGAAAAGUUUACUGAAAGCUAAACUAGAAGGAGGAUUUAGUAGUAAGGGAGAAAUAGAGUGUCUCCCUGAAAUUGGCCCUUAAGCGCGCACACACCGCCCGUCACUCUCCCCGAGCUAAAAAAUAUCAAUUCAUAAUACCUAUUAACAGCAAAGGGGAGGCAAGUCGUAACAUGGUAAGUGUACCGGAAGGUGUACUUGGGUAAA